This 1729-nucleotide ribosomal RNA is filed under the name Clostridium sporogenes. RNAcentral's name for it is "bacterial LSU rRNA". It matches the Rfam family "Bacterial large subunit ribosomal RNA", at positions 788 to 2533 of the family's 2925-position model. Lineage: Bacteria; Bacillati; Bacillota; Clostridia; Eubacteriales; Clostridiaceae. The record is from RNAcentral.
GUUGAAAAACCAUGGGAUGAGCUGUGGAUAGCGGAGAAAUUCCAAUCGAACUCGGAGAUAGCUGGUUCUCCUCGAAAUAGCUUUAGGGCUAGCGUCGUGUAAUUGAGUAAUGGAGGUAGAGCACUGAAUGGGCUAGGGGCUAUAGUAGUUACCGAACCCUAUCAAACUCCGAAUGCCAUAUACUUGUAUCACGGCAGUCAGACUGCGAAUGAUAAGAUCCGUAGUCAAAAGGGAAACAGCCCAGACCAUCAGCUAAGGUCCCAAAGUGUAAGUUAAGUGGAAAAGGAUGUGGGAUUUCUAAGACAACUAGGAUGUUGGCUUAGAAGCAGCCACUCAUUUAAAGAGUGCGUAAUAGCUCACUAGUCAAGAGAUCCUGCGCCGAAGAUGUCCGGGGCUCAAACUUACCACCGAAGCUAUGGGUGUACACUAUGUGUACGCGGUAGAGGAGCUUUCUGUAUGGGUUGAAGUCGUACCGUAAGGAGCGGUGGACUGUACAGAAGUGAGAAUGCUGGCAUAAGUAGCGAGAAAUAAGUGAGAAUCUUAUUGGCCGAAAACCUAAGGUUUCCUGAGGAAGGUUCGUCCGCUCAGGGUUAGUCGGGACCUAAGCCGAGGCCGAAAGGCGUAGGUGAUGGACAAUCGGUUGAUAUUCCGAUACCACCUAUUUACGUUUGAGAAAUGGGGUGACGCAGUAGGAUAAGAUGUGCGCACUAUUGGAUGUGCGUCUAAGCACUUAGGCAUGCUUGAUAGGCAAAUCCGUCGAGCUAAGCUGAGGUGUGAUGGGGAGCCAUUUAUGGCGAAGUAUCUGAUUCCACACUGCCAAGAAAAGCCUCUAUCGAGUGAAUAGGUGCCCGUACCGCAAACCGACACAGGUAGGUGAGGAGAGAAUCCUAAGGCCAUCGGAAGAAUUGCUGUUAAGGAACUCGGCAAAUUGACCCCGUAACUUCGGGAGAAGGGGUGCCUACGAAAGUAGGCCGCAGAGAAUAGGCCCAAGCAACUGUUUAGCAAAAACACAGGUCUCUGCUAAAGCGAAAGCUGAUGUAUAGGGGCUGACGCCUGCCCGGUGCUGGAAGGUUAAGGGGAACACUUAGCGUAAGCGAAGGUGUGAACUUAAGCCCCAGUAAACGGCGGCCGUAACUAUAACGGUCCUAAGGUAGCGAAAUUCCUUGUCGGGUAAGUUCCGACCCGCACGAAUGGCGUAAUGAUUUGGGCACUGUCUCAACAGCAAAUCCGGCGAAAUUGUAGUGCAAGUGAAGAUGCUUGCUACCCGCGAUUGGACGGAAAGACCCCGUAGAGCUUUACUGUAGCUUAGCAUUGAAUCUCGGUAUUGUCUGUACAGGAUAGGUGGGAGACUUGGAAACUUGGGCGUCAGCCUGAGUGGAGUCAUCCUUGGGAUACCACCCUGACAGUACUGGGGUUCUAACCGGAGGCCAUGAAUCUGGUCACGGGACAUUGUUAGGUGGGCAGUUUGACUGGGGCGGUCGCCUCCUAAAAAGGAACGGAGGCGCCCAAAAGUUCCCUCAGCGCGGUCGGAAAUCGCGCGAAGAGUGCAAAGGCAGAAGGGAGCUUGACUGCGACACAUACAGGUGGAGCAGGGACGAAAGUCGGGCUUAGUGAUCCGGUGGUACCUCGUGGGAGGGCCAUCGCUCAACGGAUAAAAGCUACCUCGGGGAUAACAGGCUGAUCUCCCCCAAGAGUCCACAUCGACGGGGAGGUUUGGCACCUCGAUGUC